RNAcentral lists this transfer RNA (72 nucleotides) under Camelus bactrianus (Bactrian camel). It matches the Rfam family "tRNA". Rfam says of the family: Transfer RNA (tRNA) molecules are approximately 80 nucleotides in length. Their secondary structure includes four short double-helical elements and three loops (D, anti-codon, and T loops). RNAcentral also lists the same sequence under 2 other names. Lineage: Eukaryota; Metazoa; Chordata; Mammalia; Artiodactyla; Camelidae. The record is from Rfam by way of RNAcentral.
GAGGGUAUAGCUCAGUGGUAGAGCAUAUGCUUAGCUUGAAUAAAGUCCCAGGUUCAAUCCCUAGUACGUCUA